This 274-nucleotide ribosomal RNA is filed under the name uncultured bacterium. Its description in RNAcentral is "partial 16S ribosomal RNA". It matches the Rfam family "Bacterial small subunit ribosomal RNA", at positions 523 to 796 of the family's 1533-position model. The record is from RNAcentral.
AUACGGAGGGUGCGAGCGUUAAUCGGAAUUACUGGGCGUAAAGGGCGCGUAGGUGGUUAGGUCAGUCGGAUGUGAAAGCCCCGGGCUCAACUCGGGAAUUGCAUUCGAUACUGCCUGGCUUGAGUAUGGUAGAGGGAAGUGGAAUUCCGGGUGUAGCGGUGAAAUGCGUAGAUAUCCGGAGGAACACCAGUGGCGAAGGCGGCUUCCUGGACCAAUACUGACACUGAGGCGCGAAAGCGUGGGGAGCAAACAGGAUUAGAUACCCCGGUAGUCC